AAGUCGUAACAAGGUUUCCGUAGGUGAACCUGCGGAAGGAUCAUCAAUAGUCCAAAACAUUACUUGACCGUCAUGGUCCUGUAAUAAAACACCUUCUUGUGCACUGUUGUUAUGUCAUGGUAGACUGGGAGUGUUCCUGUUAUUAUUGUUGCUGCUGCUGCUGCUUAAUUGUAGUGGUGGCGAUGAUGAUGCGCCUCCCAGCCUGCCGUCUGUUAUCACACAAACACCGUUAUUUCAAAGUCUGAUUCUUGUUGUAUUGUCACUGUGUAACAGCAGAGAUGAGUAAUACUACUACUGAUACAACUUACAGCGAUGGAUCUCUUGGUUCUG
Molecule: unclassified non-coding RNA, 330 nt
Filed under: fungal sp.
Lineage: Eukaryota; Fungi
Description: partial internal transcribed spacer region
Rfam family: Eukaryotic small subunit ribosomal RNA (bases 1-46)
Source: RNAcentral